UACGUAUGGUGCAAGCGUUAUCCGGAUUUACUGGGUGUAAAGGGAGCGUAGGCGGCGCGUUAAGUCUGAUGUGAAAACCCGAGGCUCCACCACGGGAGUGCAUUGGAAACUGGCGUGCUGGAGUGCCGGAGAGGUAAGCGGAAUUCCUAGUGUAGCGGUGAAAUGCGUAGAUAUUAGGAGGAACACCAGUGGCGAAGGCGGCUUACUGGACGGCAACUGACGCUGAGGCUCGAAAGCGUGGGGAGCAAACAGG
RNAcentral lists this ribosomal RNA (253 nucleotides) under uncultured bacterium. RNAcentral's name for it is "partial 16S ribosomal RNA". It matches the Rfam family "Bacterial small subunit ribosomal RNA", at positions 524 to 776 of the family's 1533-position model. The record is from RNAcentral.